RNAcentral lists this signal recognition particle RNA (302 nucleotides) under Saimiri boliviensis boliviensis (Bolivian squirrel monkey). RNAcentral's name for it is "Metazoan signal recognition particle RNA (ENSSBOG00000004926.1)". It matches the Rfam family "Metazoan signal recognition particle RNA". From Rfam's summary of the family: The signal recognition particle (SRP) is a universally conserved ribonucleoprotein. It is involved in the co-translational targeting of proteins to membranes. Lineage: Eukaryota; Metazoa; Chordata; Mammalia; Primates; Cebidae. The record is from RNAcentral.
GCUGGGCAUGGUGGCGCAUGCCUGUAGUCCCAGCUACUCAGGAGGCUGAGGUGGGAGGAUAGCUUGAGCCCAGGAGUUCUGGGCUGUAGUAUGCUAUGCUGAUUGGGUGUCUGCACUAAGUUUGACAUCAAUAUGGUGACCUCCUGGGAGCGGAGGACCACCAGGUUGCCUAAGGAGGAGUGAACCAGCCCAGGUCAGAAACGGAGCAGGUCAAAACUCCUGUGCUGAUUGGUUGUGGGAUCGCGUCUGUGAAUAGCCACUGCACUCCAGCCUGGGCUGCAGCAUAGUGAGACCCCAUCUCU